AUACGGAGGGUGCAAGCGUUACUCGGAAUCACUGGGCGUAAAGCGCGCGCAGGCGGCUUGAUAAGUUGGAUGUGAAAGCCUACGGCUCAACCGUAGAACUGCAUCCAAAACUGUCAAGCUAGAGUCUGGGAGGGGAAGAUGGAAUUAGUUGUGUAGGGGUAAAAUCCGUAGAGAUAACUAGGAAUACCAAAAGCGAAGGCGAUCUUCUGGAACAGUACUGACGCUGAGGCGCGAAAGCGUGCGGAGCAAACAGGAUUAGAAACCCGAGUAGUCC
Molecule: ribosomal RNA, 274 nt
Filed under: uncultured bacterium
Lineage: Bacteria
Description: partial 16S ribosomal RNA
Rfam family: Bacterial small subunit ribosomal RNA
Source: RNAcentral